This 27-nucleotide non-coding RNA is filed under the name Cricetulus griseus (Chinese hamster). Lineage: Eukaryota; Metazoa; Chordata; Mammalia; Rodentia; Cricetidae. The record is from RNAcentral.
UAUUAGCGCGUGCUUAGGAAGGAGUGA